GACGAACGCUGGCGGCGUGCUUAACACAUGCAAGUCGAACGGAAAGGCCCUGCUUUUGUGGGGUGCUCGAGUGGCGAACGGGUGAGUAACACGUGAGUAACCUGCCCUUGACUUUGGGAUAACUUCAGGAAACUGGGGCUAAUACCGGAUAGGAGCUCCUGCUGCAUGGUGGGGGUUGGAACGUUUCGGCGGUUGGGGAUGGACUCGCGGCUUAUCAGCUUGUUGGUGGGGUAGUGGCUUACCAAGGCUUUGACGGGUAGCCGGCCUGAGAGGGUGACCGGCCACAUUGGGACUGAGAUACGGCCCAGACUCCUACGGGAGGCAGCAGUGGGGAAUAUUGCACAAUGGGCGGAAGCCUGAUGCAGCAACGCCGCGUGCGGGAUGACGGCCUGCGGGUUGUAAACCGAUUUCGCCUGUGACGAAGCGUGAGUGACGGUAAUGGGUAAAGAAGCACCGGCUAACUACGUG
RNAcentral lists this ribosomal RNA (468 nucleotides) under uncultured bacterium. RNAcentral's name for it is "partial 16S ribosomal RNA". It matches the Rfam family "Bacterial small subunit ribosomal RNA", at positions 28 to 507 of the family's 1533-position model. The record is from RNAcentral.